Molecule: transfer RNA, 72 nt
Organism: Gemmata sp. SH-PL17
Lineage: Bacteria; Pseudomonadati; Planctomycetota; Planctomycetia; Gemmatales; Gemmataceae
Rfam family: tRNA
About the family: Transfer RNA (tRNA) molecules are approximately 80 nucleotides in length.
Source: Rfam
GCUCGCGUAGCUCAGUGGUAGAGCAGCGGUUUUGUAAACCGCUGGUCGUGGGUUCAACUCCCUCCGCGAGCU